Acanthosepion pharaonis is the source of this 95-nucleotide non-coding RNA. NCBI's taxonomy places the organism in Eukaryota, Metazoa, Mollusca, Cephalopoda, Sepiida, Sepiidae. The record is from the annotation of a GenBank genome assembly.
UAUUGAAACACCGGUUCCUGUAAGAUCUCCUAAUUUAAGCAACGUCAAUCCUGGUCAGUACCUGGAUGGGUGACCUCUUGGGAAUACUAGCUGCU